GCUCUGCUUCACAAUCUCAUUCCAACCAUUGCUAUUGCAUUGCCAAGCUAUUUAAUUGACUGCCUGUCCAAUUAAAUGAAUGGAUGGCUAAAGGUAAAAAAUCUAGGGUUAUCUCUGUGUCAGUGCCAAUAUUUAGCUAAUUUUGUUGCCAUGGUUUUGAUGUUGUGGCAUUUGGUUUUAGGGGUUGUAUCAAAGAUGGAUGCAAUUAGUUUCAGUAAAGUUGAAAUUUUUGUGUGGGUGUGGCUUGGACAAGAGGAUCAGAUCCGAUGAAAAGAAAUUGUUUUGUGUUCUAUUUUUUAAUUCUCAAUUUUUUUUAUCCUUUAUUAUGAAGCUUGUGUUAAAUUCAAUAACAGCCUACUUAUUUUUUGCUUUAGUUGUGCAGUUUUGUAAUGAUGAAGAAUGCAGAUUGUAUACAUGAAUAUGGAGAAGCUUAUGAAGAUGGUUGGUGCAGGGAGAAAAGAGGCAGAGAUGCUGGA
RNAcentral lists this unclassified non-coding RNA (476 nucleotides) under Hevea brasiliensis (rubber tree). Lineage: Eukaryota; Viridiplantae; Streptophyta; Magnoliopsida; Malpighiales; Euphorbiaceae. The record is from RNAcentral.